GAUGAACGCCGUCUACAGGCUUAACACAUGCAAGUCGAGGGGAAACGACGGGGAAGCUUGCUUCCCCGGGCGUCGACCGGCGCACGGGUGAGUAACGCGUAUCCAACCUGCCUCUGACUGAGGGAUAACCCGUCGAAAGUCGGCCUAAUACCUCAUGGCAUCGUCUGCGGGCAUCCAACGACGAUUAAAGAUUUCAUCGGUCAGGGAUGGGGAUGCGUCUGAUUAGCUUGUUGGCGGGGUAACGGCCCACCAAGGCUACGAUCAGUAGGGGUUCUGAGAGGAAGGUCCCCCACAUUGGAACUGAGACACGGUCCAAACUCCUACGGGAGGCAGCAGUGAGGAAUAUUGGUCAAUGGGCGGGAGCCUGAACCAGCCAAGUAGCGUGCAGGAUGACGGCCCUAUGGGUUGUAAACUGCUUUUAUGCGGGGAUAAAGUGAGGGACGUGUCCUUCAUUGCAGGUACCGCAUGAAUAAGGACCGGCUAAUUCCGUG
This 491-nucleotide ribosomal RNA is filed under the name uncultured bacterium. Its description in RNAcentral is "partial 16S ribosomal RNA". It matches the Rfam family "Bacterial small subunit ribosomal RNA", at positions 28 to 507 of the family's 1533-position model. The record is from RNAcentral.